GCUGGGUGUUGUGGUGUGCACCUAUAGCCCCAGCUACUCUGGAGGCUGAGGCAAGAGGAUCACUUGAGCAUGAGUUCUAAGCUGUAGUGUACUGUGCCAAUCUGGUGUCUGCACUAAGUCCAGCAUCAAUAUUGUGACCUCCCAGGAGUGGGGGACCACCAGGUUACCUUAGAAGGAGUGAACUGGUCCAAGUGAGAAAUGUAGCAGGUUAAAACUCCCGUGCUGAUCAGUAGUGGGAUCACAUUAACGCCUGUGAAUAGCCACUGCCCUCCAGCUUGGGCAACAUAGUAAGACUCCUGUCUCU
This 304-nucleotide signal recognition particle RNA is filed under the name Microcebus murinus (gray mouse lemur). Its description in RNAcentral is "Metazoan signal recognition particle RNA (ENSMICG00000031428.2)". It matches the Rfam family "Metazoan signal recognition particle RNA". From Rfam's summary of the family: The signal recognition particle (SRP) is a universally conserved ribonucleoprotein. It is involved in the co-translational targeting of proteins to membranes. The eukaryotic SRP consists of a 300-nucleotide 7S RNA and six proteins: SRPs 72, 68, 54, 19, 14, and 9. Lineage: Eukaryota; Metazoa; Chordata; Mammalia; Primates; Cheirogaleidae. The record is from Rfam by way of RNAcentral.